UGGGGAAUUUUGGGACAAUGGGGGAAACCCUGAUCCAGCCAUCCCGCGUGUGCGAUGAAGGCCUUCGGGUUGUAAAGCACUUUUGGCAGGAAAGAAACGUCGCGGGUUAAUACCCCGCGAAACUGACGGUACCUGCAGAAUAAGCACCGGCUAACUACGUGCCAGCAGCCGCGGUAAUACGUAGGGUGCAAGCGUUAAUCGGAAUUACUGGGCGUAAAGCGUGCGCAGGCGGUUCGGAAACGAAAGAUGUGAAAUCCCAGAGCUUAACUUUGGAACUGCAUUUUUAACUACCGGGCUAGAGUGUGUCAGAGGGAGGUGGAAUUCCGCGUGUAGCAGUGAAAUGCGUAGAUAUGCGGAGGAACACCGAUGGCGAAGGCAGCCUCCUGGGAUAACACUGACGCUCAUGCACGAAAGGCGUGGGGAGCAAAGCAGGAUUAGAUACCCUGGUUAGUCCACGCCCUAAACGAUGUCAACUAGCUGUUGGGGCCUUCGGGCCUUGGUAGCGCAGCUAACGCGUGAAGUUGACCGCCU
Molecule: ribosomal RNA, 531 nt
Filed under: uncultured bacterium
Lineage: Bacteria
Description: partial 16S ribosomal RNA
Rfam family: Bacterial small subunit ribosomal RNA
Source: RNAcentral